RNAcentral lists this ribosomal RNA (278 nucleotides) under uncultured beta proteobacterium. Its description in RNAcentral is "partial 16S ribosomal RNA". It matches the Rfam family "Bacterial small subunit ribosomal RNA", at positions 8 to 290 of the family's 1533-position model. The record is from RNAcentral. Lineage: Bacteria; Pseudomonadati; Pseudomonadota; Betaproteobacteria.
AGGGUUUGAUUAUGGCUCAGAUUGAACGCUGGCGGCAUGCCUUACACAUGCAAGNCGAACGGUAACAGGUCUUCGGAUGCUGACGAGUGGCGAACGGGUGAGUAAUACAUCGGAACGUGCCCGAUCGUGGGGGAUAACGCAGCGAAAGCUGAGCUAAUACCGCAUACGAUCUACGGAUGAAAGCGGGGGANCGCAAGACCNCGCGCGGACGGAGCGGNNGAUGGCAGAUUAGGNAGUUGGUGGGAUAAAGGCNNACAAAGCCGACGAUCUGUAGCUGG